AUGUUGGGCAGAGACUGUGAGCCUCCCAGGGCCAGGGCUACGAAAUCAUGUCUAAUGGUGAAUUUACCCGGCAAGAAAUGCAGUGCCUUUUGGAGAAUGGGCUGAGUUAUCAAGUACUGUGUGUGCCCCACAGGGGCCAGUAGAAUGGAAGUCCUAUGAGGGCAGGAAGUAUUUUUGCUCAUUGGUUGCCAAUUACUUGGGGCAGUGAAAACUGAAAUCAUGCAUCCAUGCUAGGCAUUAGUGUAACUAUUUCUUUAUCUCAUAGUUGUGCUUUUUUUUUGACAUGUACAGUGACUAUUCCUUUAAUCUCAUAGUUGUUUUGGGGUUUUUAAAUCUUAAUGUAUGCAGAGUGCUUUUUUCCCCCCUAUAAAAUUGUAAGCCACUGAAAGGCAGAUGCUCUAUAUUGUACAUUGACAAAAUGCUUAAUAGUGCCUUAUUGAGGUUGUGCAGUAAGGUUGAUAACUUAACCCAUCAUAAUUUUUCCUGAAUCUCUACCCUCUUGAUCAAACCCAGGGUAUGUGAGGGGUCAUGCUCCUCAAGCCCUAUUCCUCACUUCCUCCACUUUACAGCCAGGUUGGGUCCAAGGUUGGCCAAAAUAGGGAAGUCUGUGCCCAUUGCCAGGUAAGGAAUAUGUGGGGGCACAACUAGUUGUGGAGACAAGAAGUCACACCUCUUCCCUGCCUUCAUGGAGGCCUCCCAGGGACACCACAGUGUGUGGAGAAUCCUGCUUUAAGGUGAGAAAGGUCGGAGGGAGUUUGGGUGGCCAAACUGGACUUCUUUCUCUUCUUACCUACCUUGUAAACAUUCAGUUUUCCCUUGUCUCUCUCUUGCUCUCCUGUGUAGACCUUCAAAUUUGUACAACUUUCUGUUCUACCUAUUCUUCUUCCUGUCUCCACUUCUUGUAAAUAACUGGUCUAUUUCUCUCUCUCACCUUCCACAAUAGACUUCAACUUCAUGCAAGACUGUGGUCGUGCCUGCUUUCUGCUGUUGCGGCUCUGGCAUCCAGUACAGUGCUUCACAUACAGAAGAUAGCCAAAUGGACACGCAAGGAAAGGAUCCCCAGAUCAGCAGUCAGCAGCCCAGUGGACCUUCCCAGAAUGGAUGCUACUCUCCUUCCAUGCCCAGAGGAGAAAUUUGGCCAUGACAGCAAGCUUAAUGGGAGGCUGCAGAGAGCCACACAUCAGGGAGAAGACACGGACCACUCAUCGGCAGUUCUCCAAGACCAUUAGGACUGCGCCUCACCCACUGUGGACCCUGCCCCUAACAAACUCCAUGCUGCUGCCCAGUAUGGAACAUUUCCCAUGCCCACCACUACCCCAACAAUGCUGUUGCCUCUGGCUUCAAAUAUUUUCAAAUUUGGACUACUUGCGUCUUGACUAGUUCCUCCAGAAAGUGAUUGGUGCAGGGUGUUGGUGUAUUGUUUGUGUCUGUCACUAGCUGAGGGGGUGAAGAGCAAGGGGGAGGAGCGUGAGGCAGGGGCUGCCGCUCUUUCAGCGGGGAGAUGGGGUUUGGAAACAGGGACCAGGACUGUGAGUAGGAUCUGCUUCUGCCUUGGCCGAGGGAGCAGGCAAGGCCUGGGGCCCUUUUAAUUCUAGACGGGCCGAACCUCCCCUCGGCCUGGUCUCUGAAGCUCCCUACCCAUUCAUGGCCCCUGGAGUACCAACCCUCCCGGCUUGACAGAGUUGGGUGUCCCAGGGAAGGGGAAUCGAGUAUAAGGAAGGGGAGAGUGAGCUAUCACUGUGUGAACAAAAUCCUUCCUGGAGGAACCAAAUGAUUUCAAGAGAAUCUGGUGGCUAGCCCCAGAUGAAGCAUAAGGCUAUGGCAUAUAUUUCUCAAAGACAACAGCAUUGUCAGCCCCUUUCUUCCCCUCCCAAAUUGUGAUCCCCAUUUUCCCCCCUGAAAUCUGUAUCUCUGCCCUGCUGAAGAAAUAUGCAUUGUACAUUCCA
Ornithorhynchus anatinus (platypus) is the source of this 1946-nucleotide long non-coding RNA. RefSeq lists it as uncharacterized. The transcript is spliced from 3 exons. NCBI's taxonomy places the organism in Eukaryota, Metazoa, Chordata, Mammalia, Monotremata, Ornithorhynchidae. The record is from RefSeq and is a predicted model, not a curated record.